This 497-nucleotide ribosomal RNA is filed under the name uncultured bacterium. Its description in RNAcentral is "partial 16S ribosomal RNA". It matches the Rfam family "Bacterial small subunit ribosomal RNA", at positions 28 to 507 of the family's 1533-position model. The record is from RNAcentral.
GACGAACGCUGGCGGCGUGCCUAAUACAUGCAAGUAGAACGCUGAAGAGAGGAGCUUGCUCUUCUUGGAUGAGUUGCGAACGGGUGAGUAACGCGUAGGUAACCUGCCUUGUAGCGGGGGAUAACUAUUGGAAACGAUAGCUAAUACCGCAUAACAAUAGGUGACACAUGUCAUUUAUUUGAAAGGGGCAAUUGCUCCACUACAAGAUGGACCUGCGUUGUAUUAGCUAGUAGGUGAGGUAACGGCUCACCUAGGCGACGAUACAUAGCCGACCUGAGAGGGUGAUCGGCCACACUGGGACUGAGACACGGCCCAGACUCCUACGGGAGGCAGCAGUAGGGAAUCUUCGGCAAUGGGGGCAACCCUGACCGAGCAACGCCGCGUGAGUGAAGAAGGUUUUCGGGUCGUAAAGCUCUGUUGUAAGUCAAGAACGAGUGUGAGAGUGGAAAGUUCACACUGUGACGGUAGCUUACCAGAAAGGGACGGCUAACUACGUG